UAAAUCAGCUAAGAUAACUAGGCACAAAGCAAACAAGGUAAAUUAGGGAAACUCCGGUGCAAAUCCGAGGCUGUGCCGCAACUGUAAACGAGACUGUGGGAGUAAUCAUACUCUAUAUACAGCGAUCGCUAGCCAGAAUGCCUAAAUUGCCAGUAGCUUACC
Chroococcales cyanobacterium is the source of this 162-nucleotide non-coding RNA. The record is from Rfam. NCBI's taxonomy places the organism in Bacteria, Bacillati, Cyanobacteriota, Cyanophyceae, Chroococcales.